This 465-nucleotide ribosomal RNA is filed under the name uncultured bacterium. RNAcentral describes it as "partial 16S ribosomal RNA". It matches the Rfam family "Bacterial small subunit ribosomal RNA", at positions 28 to 507 of the family's 1533-position model. The record is from RNAcentral.
GACGAACGCUGGCGGCGUGCUUAACACAUGCAAGUCGAACGGAAAGGUCCUGCUGGCAGGGUACACGAGUGGCGAACGGGUGAGUAACACGUGGGUGAUCUGCCCUGCACUUCGUGAUAAUCCUGGGAAACUGGGUCUAAUACAGGAUAGGAGCCAUUUUUAGUGUGAUGGUUCGAAAGUUUUUUCGGUGUAGGAUGAGCUCGCGGGCUAUCAGCUUGUUGGUGGCGUAAUGGCUUACCAAGGCGGUGACGGGUCGCCGGCCUGAGUGGGUGGACGGCGACAAUGACACCGAGCGGCGGCCCAGACGCCGACUGGAGGCAGCAGUAGGGAAUAUUGCCCAAGCAGCGCCAGGUGGAUGCAGCGACGCCUCGUAUCGGAUGACUGCCUUGGUGUUGUAGACGCCUGACGCUAGGAACGAAACGUCUUGUGACGGUACCUAAAUAAGAAGCACCGGCUAACUACGUG